UUCAAUUCCUCGGACUGGACUAGAUUUCAAGUUCUCGCAUUUUGACCCAGUCCUCGACUUGAUCAAAUUGCGUGGACUUGAAAUCUAGUCCAGUCCGCAUAGUUGGA
Paramuricea clavata is the source of this 107-nucleotide non-coding RNA. Lineage: Eukaryota; Metazoa; Cnidaria; Anthozoa; Malacalcyonacea; Plexauridae. The record is from the annotation of a GenBank genome assembly.